Molecule: small RNA, 17 nt
Filed under: Arabidopsis thaliana (thale cress)
Lineage: Eukaryota; Viridiplantae; Streptophyta; Magnoliopsida; Brassicales; Brassicaceae
Description: ATSL144690
Source: RNAcentral
AAAAAAAACGAAAAAAU